This 362-nucleotide ribosomal RNA is filed under the name Afrolittorina praetermissa. RNAcentral describes it as "partial 12S ribosomal RNA". The record is from RNAcentral. Lineage: Eukaryota; Metazoa; Mollusca; Gastropoda; Littorinimorpha; Littorinidae.
CUAGAUAUAAAUAGACUUAAACCUCUACCUGAGUACUACGAAUCAUAAAUUUAAAACUCAAAGAGCUUGGCGGUGCUUUAGACUUUUCAGGGGAACCUGUCCCGUAAUCGACAAUCCACGAAUCAACCUUACUUUUUCUUGCGACCAGUAUGUAUACCGUCGUCGCCAGGUAACUUUUAAAAAUAAAGAAGUUAGCAAGAAAGCUAUUAGCUCUUACGUCAGAUCAAGGUGCAGCCUAUGAAAAAGAGAGGAUGGGUUACAAUUAUAAUACAUAAUUACGGAUAUUGAUUUUAAAAAUCAUUUGAAGGCGGACUUGAAAGUAAAAUCUAGUAAUCAAAUGCUUUGAAUCAAGCUCUGAAGCG